RNAcentral lists this long non-coding RNA (1442 nucleotides) under Homo sapiens (human). RNAcentral describes it as "HSALNT0393388". The record is from RNAcentral. Lineage: Eukaryota; Metazoa; Chordata; Mammalia; Primates; Hominidae.
AAUAUGCUUUUUAUGGUUGCUGUUGCCAUAUUUACUGAAGGUUUAUACCUAAAUGUAACUUUAGCUUUAUGGAACUAUAUAGUAAUCCCAAAUCAAGUUAUUUUGAAUAUUUUUAUGCUGUCAUGCUUGAAUGUUUUAGAUGUAACCUUUGACAUAUUUAGAACUCUCCUCCUAUACAAUGUUUAUUCUCAGAUAUAGAGGUUAUGUCAUUUUAUAAAGACUUCAUUGAUAAGAUGGCUUUUAUUCAUACUAAUCCUCCCAAUGUUACCCCUUCCAUCUUCCAAGAAGAAAAAAAAUGCCUGAAUAUUCAGAAUAGAUAUUUCUGAUUUGAAAAUUCUAAAGAAUUAAACUGGAAAAGUAUUUCAUUUACUUAGUGCUCUGAAUUUACUUUUACAGUUUUCUGCAGUCAGUAUCAUUAAAAUGGUUAAGUUUACAUUUGAACUGAAAAUAUGUAUAAAAUCUAGCAAUUCACAAAAAUGCCCUAGAAAUAUAGAUUUUAAUCACCAUUACAUAAUGACAAACCUUGUUAAAUGCUUCCACUUCCAGUGGCAAAUGCCACUAGGGAAAGUAAGUUGCACUCAUGUAAGUAUCAAACUAUAUAAAAGGAGGCCUUGUGCAUUUCAAGUUUGCAAAGUACCUGUGUACUUAAAAUAUGUGUGGAGACCUACUGUACAGUAGUUUUGCCCCUUUAAUUGGGGCACAUUCAUCUUAAAUCUUAUAGUAUUUAUCCACCCAAACCCCAGACUGAGAUACUGCUCCCAGGGGCCUAGGUAGCUGCCAGUCCGUGAUUUUAAUUGCUGUCUUGAAGUUAACAAGUGUUAUAAUGAAAUAAUCUACCUGAUGCUAAAUAAAGGCUUUAGAAUGUUCCCCAAAAGUGUGGUUUCUUUUAAAAUUUCAAAUAUACUAAUGUUGCCACUUAAUACUAUCCUAAAUUGUUAGACGUGUCCUACGAAAGAAGUCCUUGUGGUACCAUAGCUCCCAGGGUCAAGGAGAUGAUAACCAGUUACCUGGCAUGCAUAGUGGACACAGCCUGGGCGCACCCUGCAAAGCUGGCUUCUUCUCAUACUCAGGUGUCAGUUUACAUCUGAGCCUGAACACCCUACCUAAUAGUGACAAUUAAAGGAACAGCAAUGGGCACUUGCAUUGCAACAUAUCUCAAGACAUCUGACUGUGAAACGACAGCAUGUCCAGGAAGAGGUUUCCAUCCCUGUGCUUCCUGAACAUUUGAGCCUACUAAGAUAAAAGGUGGGGCACUGGUCUUCUUGGUGUCGCCCAUCACAUAAGUUGGAAAAGUGACUUUUGGUGGAUGCUGCUGAAACUGUGGAUCCUUAGGAUUAGGUAAAUAGAGGGUUGCUUGGGGAAAAGGCCCAGGUGCAGGUGGCGGUGAUGGGUGACCUUGUUGAUUCUUAUCAGUUAGACAAUAAAGGGUCCACAUGUUAGAA